This is a regulatory RNA element of Plesiomonas shigelloides 302-73, 142 nucleotides long. It matches the Rfam family "CpoB/ybgF ICR thermometer". From Rfam's summary of the family: Imprinting control region from upstream of cpoB/ybgF (tol/pal system protein). NCBI's taxonomy places the organism in Bacteria, Pseudomonadati, Pseudomonadota, Gammaproteobacteria, Enterobacterales, Enterobacteriaceae. The record is from Rfam.
CCAAAUCUCUAUCGUUUCUUACGGUAAAGAGAAGCCAGCAGUUCUGGGCCAUACUGAAGACGCGUACGCUAAAAACCGUCGCGCAGUACUGGUUUACUAAUAAGGAUAUCGCAUGAACCGUAACUACAGACCGAUUAUCAGU